This 1390-nucleotide unclassified non-coding RNA is filed under the name Zea mays. RNAcentral's name for it is "misc RNA Zm00001eb097660". The record is from RNAcentral. Lineage: Eukaryota; Viridiplantae; Streptophyta; Magnoliopsida; Poales; Poaceae.
AGAAGUAUGAACUGUUGUAUUGCAUAGAGAAUGGGUACAAUAUAUAUACACAUGUAGUCUAACAUUCCCCCGCAGUCGCAACGGGGGCACCACACACGAUGAGACUGGAGUAGAGGCCGAAGGUAGGAGCUGACGGGUUGAAAUCCUCCCGCAGUCGCAGCGUCGUGAUGGUGCGAAUGUAGCAGCUGGAGUAGAGAUCGGUGUGUGCUCCAAGAAGACGAUAGCCCCUAGAUGCCGAGGUAGCCGAAGUCGAGGUGGUCGCGGUCGGGAGACACGCAACAGAAGCCUGUUCUUCGGGAGGGGUCGACGUUCGAGCGUCAACGGUCGGCAUGGCGACAUAACAAAAGAACACCGGCAGGCUGACCUUCCUGCUUCUUCGAUCGUCCGGGCGUCAAGGAGCCCCACCAGGGAGGCCGACGGCAGCGCACGCGUUUGCGCCGGUCAUGGUGUCCGCGCCCGCGACAGAAAAGGAGAAUGUCGGAUUCGGCCGGGAAGGCCACGACAGCGACAGAUCCGGACGGGAAGACGAGAUCCAGCCAAAGGGACGGCAGAUCGAGCCGAAAAGGUCGCAGCAACGUGGAUCCGGCCGGGAAAGCCGCGGCAGCGACGGAUCCAACGAAGGCGAUGAAGGGGGUGGGCGGCGAGGCGCGUCUAGCCGGGCAGGGGCCUGCGCCGGACCUGGCAAGGGAUGAUGACGACGCAGGCGCCGGGAGAAGCUUGAAGGGUGAGGCGCUGCUGGGCAUCAGCGCGAGCAGUUAGGAGGUGGCCAACGCGAUGAGGAGGGGCGGCACGUGCGAGGGUGCCGACGGAGGACACAACGAAGGGGAGGGUGCACGUGCGAGGGACGCAGCGAAGAGGAGGACGCCGACCAAGGGAGGCAGCCAUGGGGAACAGGGAACCGAGCAGAGGGGUUGCUCGUGCCCUGCCCCAUCUUGACGCGCGGGAAAUGGGGCUCAGGCGCCGAGCACCAUGGAUCCGAAGCUUGGCUGGUGACCUGGGAGAGGUAGCAACAGUGGGAAAGCUGGCUGGAGACCGCGACCGUCAUGGGGGUUGGAGGCAGAUCGCGGGGCGUCCGAGGGCUUGUGCCCGCCGAGCAGGGAGCCAGACGGCCGGAGAGGAAGCAGAGAGAGGAAGAGCAUCGGCUGUUGUAGAGGAAACAUGGAGAAGAUGGCGUGGGCGAGAGGGGCCAGGAUGGGGAGGUGGUGAAGGCCAUGACCUGGUGGAGGCCGAGCACCAAGGGGAGGUGAGGGAGGAGUUGGGACGACGGCCUCCAUGGCCGGCGAGGAGAGGAGCUCGGUGGAGGUCGGCGAGGAGGCCGGCUCGGUGGAGGAUGCAGUCGAGCCUGACUGCCACCGCCGCUGGCGGGGAUGUGCGCGCACGCCGGGGCCGG